AUUGAACGCUGGCGGCAGGCUUAACACAUGCAAGUCGAGCGGGGUGAUGGUGCUUGCACUAUCACUUAGCGGCGGACGGGUGAGUAAUGCUUAGGAAUCUGCCUAUUAGUGGGGGACAACAUCUCGAAGGGGAUGCUAAUACCGCAUACGUCCUACGGGAGAAAGCAGGGGAUCACUUGUGACCUUGCGCUAAUAGAUGAGCCUAAGUCGGAUUAGCUAGUUGGUGGGGUAAAGGCCUACCAAGGCGACGAUCUGUAGCGGGUCUGAGAGGAUGAUCCGCCACACUGGGACUGAGACACGGCCCAGACUCCUACGGAAGGCAGCAGUGGGGAAUAUUGGACAAUGGGGGGAACCCUGAUCCAGCCAUGCCGCGUGUGUGAAGAAGGCCUUAUGGUUGUAAAGCACUUUAAGCGAGGAGGAGGCUCUUUUGGUUAAUACCCAAGGUGAGUGGACGUUACUCGCAGAAUAAGCACCGGCUAACUCUGUGCCAGCAGCCGCCGUAA
This 503-nucleotide ribosomal RNA is filed under the name uncultured bacterium. Its description in RNAcentral is "partial 16S ribosomal RNA". It matches the Rfam family "Bacterial small subunit ribosomal RNA", at positions 30 to 523 of the family's 1533-position model. The record is from RNAcentral.